GACGAACGCUGGCGGCGUGCUUAACACAUGCAAGUCGAACGGAAAGGCCCUGCUUGCAGGGUACUCGAGUGGCGAACGGGUGAGUAACACGGGGGUGAUCUGCCCUGCACUUCGGGAUAAGCCUGGGAAACUGGGUCUAAUACCGGAUAGGAGUCAUUUUUUGUGGGACGGUUGGACAGGUUUUUCGGUGUAGGAUGAGCUCGCGGCCUAUCAGCUUGUUGGUGGGGUAGUGGCCUACCAAGGCGGCGACGGGUAGCCGGCCUGGGAGGGUGGACGGCCACAUUGGGACUGAGAUACGGCCCAGACUCCUACGGGAGGCAGCAGUGGGGAAUAUUGCACAAUGGGCGCAAGCCUGAUGCAGCGACGCCGCGUGGGGGAUGACGGCCUUCGGGUUGUAAACUCCUUUCGCUAGGGACGAAGCUUUUUGUGACGGUACCUAGAUAAGAAGCACCGGCUAACUACGUGCCAGCCGCCGCCGUAA
Molecule: ribosomal RNA, 481 nt
Filed under: uncultured bacterium
Lineage: Bacteria
Description: partial 16S ribosomal RNA
Rfam family: Bacterial small subunit ribosomal RNA
Source: RNAcentral